AAAUGAAUUGACGGGGGCCCGCACAAGCGGUGGAGCAUGUGGUUUAAUUCGAUGCAACGCGAAGAACCUUACCUACUCUUGACAUCCAGAGAACUUUCCAGAGAUGGAUUGGUGCCUUCGGGAACUCUGAGACAGGUGCUGCAUGGCUGUCGUCAGCUCGUGUUGUGAAAUGUUGGGUUAAGUCCCGCAACGAGCGCAACCCCUGUCCUUUGUUGCCAGCGGUCCGGCCGGGAACUCAAAGGAGACUGCCAGUGAUAAACUGGAGGAAGGUGGGGAUGACGUCAAGUCAUCAUUGGCCCUUACGACCAGGGCUACACACGUGCUACAAUGGCAUAUACAAAGAGAAGCGACCUCGCGAGAGUAAGCGGACCUCAUAAAGUAUGUCGUAGUCCGGAUUGGAGUCUGCAACUCGACUCCAUGAAGUCGGAAUCGCUAGUAAUCGUGGAUCAGAAUGCCACGGUGAAUACG
Molecule: ribosomal RNA, 468 nt
Filed under: uncultured bacterium INV 9046com
Lineage: Bacteria
Description: bacterial SSU rRNA
Rfam family: Bacterial small subunit ribosomal RNA
Source: RNAcentral